RNAcentral lists this ribosomal RNA (376 nucleotides) under uncultured Caldisericum sp. RNAcentral describes it as "bacterial SSU rRNA". It matches the Rfam family "Bacterial small subunit ribosomal RNA", at positions 1007 to 1382 of the family's 1533-position model. The record is from RNAcentral. Lineage: Bacteria; Pseudomonadati; Caldisericota; Caldisericia; Caldisericales; Caldisericaceae.
UGGAGCAAUCCACGAGACCCAUACACAGGUGCUGCAUGGUUGUCGUCAGCUCGUGUCGUGAGAUGUACGGUUAAGUCCGUGAACGAGCGCAACCCCUGCCCUUAGUUGCUAAUAUGCGAAAGCAUAUGCACUCUAAGGGGACCGCCAGCGGAAAGCUGGAGGAAGGUGGGGAUGACGUCAAAUCCUCAUGGCCUUUAUGUCCAGGGCUACACACAUGCGACAAUGGUCGAGACAACGCGUUGCAAACCAGUAAUGGUAAGCUAAUCGCAUAAAAUCGACCUCAGUACGGAUUGAGGGUUGCAAUUCACCCUCAUGAAGCUGGAGUUGCUAGUAACCGCAGGUCAGCUAUACUGCGAUGAAUACGUUCCCGGGGCUU